ACUCCUACGGGAGGCAGCAGUAGGGAAUAUUGCACAAUGGGGGAAAGCCCUCGAUGCAGCAAUGCCACGUGAGCGAGGAAGGUCUUCGGAUUGUAAAGCUCUGUCCUAUAGGAAGAAUGGUAUUAUGGUUAANACCCAUAGAUUUUGACGGUUACUAUAGAAGAAAGCACCGGCUAACUCCGUGCCAGCAGCCGCGGUAAUACGGAGGGUGCAAGCGUUGUUCGGAUUUACUGGGCGUAAAGUGCGCGCAGGCGGAUUAAGCAAGUCAGAUGUGAAAUCU
RNAcentral lists this ribosomal RNA (280 nucleotides) under uncultured bacterium. RNAcentral's name for it is "partial 16S ribosomal RNA". It matches the Rfam family "Bacterial small subunit ribosomal RNA", at positions 335 to 602 of the family's 1533-position model. The record is from RNAcentral.